GCGGUAAGGCCCUUCGGGGUACACGAGCGGCGAACGGGUGAGUAACACGUGGGUGAUCUGCCCUGCACUUCGGGAUAAGCCUGGGAAACUGGGUCUAAUACCGGAUAUGACCACUGGGUGCAUGCCUGGUGGUGGAAAGGUUUACUGGUGCAGGAUGGGCCCGCGGCCUAUCAGCUUGUUGGUGGGGUAAUGGCCUACCAAGGCGACGACGGGUAGCCGGCCUGAGAGGGCGACCGGCCACACUGGGACUGAGACACGGCCCAGACUCCUACGGGAGGCAGCAGUGGGGAAUAUUGCACAAUGGGCGAAAGCCUGAUGCAGCGACGCCGCGUGAGGGAUGACGGCCUUCGGGUUGUAAACCUCUUUCAGCAGGGACGAAGCGAAAGUGACGGUACCUGCAGAAGAAGCACCGGCCAACUACGUGCCAGCAGCCGCGGUAAUACGUAGGGUGCGAGCGUUGUCCGGAAUUACUGGGCGUAAAGAGCUCGUAGGCGGUUUGUCGCGUCGUCUGUGAAAACCAGCAGCUCAACUGCUGGCUUGCAGGCGAUACGGGCAGACUUGAGUACUGCAGGGGAGACUGGAAUUCCUGGUGUAGCGGUGAAAUGCGCAGAUAUCAGGAGGAACACCGGUGGCGAAGGCGGGUCUCUGGGCAGUAACUGACGCUGAGGAGCGAAAGCGUGGGUAGCGAACAGGAUUAGAUAC
This 702-nucleotide ribosomal RNA is filed under the name Rhodococcus sp. 187/j. Its description in RNAcentral is "bacterial SSU rRNA". It matches the Rfam family "Bacterial small subunit ribosomal RNA", at positions 66 to 785 of the family's 1533-position model. The record is from RNAcentral. Lineage: Bacteria; Bacillati; Actinomycetota; Actinomycetes; Mycobacteriales; Nocardiaceae.